Molecule: ribosomal RNA, 405 nt
Filed under: uncultured prokaryote
Description: bacterial SSU rRNA
Rfam family: Bacterial small subunit ribosomal RNA
Source: RNAcentral
UGGGGAAUAUUGGGCAAUGGGCGGAAGCCUGACCCAGCGACGCCGCGUGGGGGAAGAAGUCUUUCGGGAUGUAAACCCUUGUUGUACGGGACGAAGGAAGUGACGGUACCGUACGAGGAAGCCCCGGCAAACUACGUGCCAGCAGCCGCGGUAAUACGUAGGGGGCGAGCGUUGUCCGGAAUCACUGGGCGUAAAGCGCACGUAGGCGGGCUGUAAAGUCGGCCGUGAAAGGCAUGGGCUCAACCUGUGCAGUUCGGUUGAUACUGGCUGUCUGGAGUAUAGGAGAGGGAACUGGAAGUCACGGUGUAGCGGUGAUAUGCGUAGGUAUCUGUAGGAACACCAGUGGCGAAGGCGGGUUCCUGGCCCAUGACUGACGCUGAGGUGCGAAUGCCGGGGGAGCGAACG